RNAcentral lists this ribosomal RNA (497 nucleotides) under uncultured bacterium. RNAcentral's name for it is "partial 16S ribosomal RNA". It matches the Rfam family "Bacterial small subunit ribosomal RNA", at positions 28 to 507 of the family's 1533-position model. The record is from RNAcentral.
GAUGAACGCUGGCGGCGUGCCUAAUACAUGCAAGUCGAGCGAACAGGCGAGGCUCUUGCUCCUCUGACGUUAGCGGCAGGCGGGUGUAUAACGCGUGGAUAACCUCCCUAUCAUACUGGGAUCACUUCGGAAAACCGGCGCUAAUACCGUAUGAUAUAUUGCACCGCGUGGUUCGUUGGUGAGAGACGGCUUUGCGGGCAGUUAUAGAUGGAUCUCCGCCGUAUUGGCUAGUUGGUGAGGUAAAGGCUUACCAAGGCAACUAUGCGUAGCCGACCGGAUAGGCUGAUCGGCCACCUUGGAACUGAGACAGGGUCCAGACUCCUAAGGGAGGCAGCAGUAGGGAAUCGUCCGCAAAGGGCGAAAGCCUGACGGAGCAACGGCGCGUGAGUGAUGAAGGCCUUCGGAGCGUAAAACUCUGUUAUUAGGGAAGAACAAAUGUGUAAGUAACUAUGCACGUCUUGACGGUAACUAAUCAGAAAGCCCCGGCUAACUACGUG